Molecule: long non-coding RNA, 383 nt
Filed under: Danio rerio (zebrafish)
Lineage: Eukaryota; Metazoa; Chordata; Actinopteri; Cypriniformes; Danionidae
Description: lncRNA si:ch211-117o2.2 (ENSDARG00000105634.2)
Source: RNAcentral
CUGGAAUCUUCAAACGACGCCUUGUGUGCUUUCUAUCUGCUUUAAAAGACAUUCAUGUCUCAUCAGUCCAGAUGCAUCUGAGGUGGACAGAAAUAGAAGGAUUUGCCACCUAGAGCCGAGAGACUUCACUUACAUUUACAGAAGGAAGAAGCAAGAGGAGGAUUAAGAGGAGGGAGAAUUAAAUCAGCGGAGAGUGCAGAUGUUCUCCACAGCUGCCCAGAUGCCUAGAGGACUGGACUGUACUCUGCAUCCCUGCAAGUGGCAGCAGCAGCAGCAAGAGAAUCUGAAUUUCUCUUCGUUUACAUGGCGGUUACCUGUUGUUUUUCGACUCGGUUUCCAUUACUGGUAAGUACAGUAUGUUCUAUUUUUAUUACAUUUUUUUU